GGCCUCGUAGUUCAAGGGAUAGAAUAGAAGUUUCCUAAACUUUUGAUCCAGGUUCGAGUCCUGGCGUGGCUA
RNAcentral lists this transfer RNA (72 nucleotides) under Saprospiraceae bacterium. RNAcentral's name for it is "tRNA-Arg". It matches the Rfam family "tRNA". Rfam says of the family: Transfer RNA (tRNA) molecules are approximately 80 nucleotides in length. Their secondary structure includes four short double-helical elements and three loops (D, anti-codon, and T loops). The record is from RNAcentral. Lineage: Bacteria; Pseudomonadati; Bacteroidota; Saprospiria; Saprospirales; Saprospiraceae. RNAcentral also lists the same sequence under 1 other name.